CAGCCGCCACGGGAAUACGGAGGGUGCAAGCGUUAAUCGGAAUUACUGGGCGUAAAGCGCACGCAGGCGGUCUGUCAAGUCGGAUGUGAAAUCCCCGGGCUCAACCUGGGAACUGCAUUCGAAACUGGCAGGCUAGAGUCUUGUAGAGGGGGGUAGAAUUCCAGGUGUAGCGGUGAAAUGCGUAGAGAUCUGGAGGAAUACCGGUGGCGAAGGCGGCCCCCUGGACAAAGACUGACGCUCAGGUGCGAAAGCGUGGGGAGCAAACAGGAUUAGAUACCCCGGUAGUCCCUGUCUCUUAUAA
RNAcentral lists this ribosomal RNA (301 nucleotides) under uncultured bacterium. Its description in RNAcentral is "partial 16S ribosomal RNA". It matches the Rfam family "Bacterial small subunit ribosomal RNA", at positions 509 to 809 of the family's 1533-position model. The record is from RNAcentral.